GAUGAAGAACGCAGCGAAAUGCGAUAAGUAAUGUGAAUUGCAGAAUUCAGUGAAUCAUCGAAUCUUUGAACGCACAUUGCGCCCGCCAGUAUUCUGGCGGGCAUGCCUGUUCGAGCGUCAUUUUAACCAUCAAGCCCCCGGCUUGUGUUGGGGACCUGCGGCUGCCGCAGGCCCUGAAAAGCAGUGGCGGGCUCGCUGUCACACCGAGCGUAGUAGCAUACAUCUCGCUCUGGGCGUGCUGCGGGUUCCGGCCGUUAAACCACCUUCAUAACCCAAGGUUGACCUCGGAUCAGGUAGGAAGACCCGCUGAACUUAAGCAUAUCAAUAAGCGGAGGA
This 336-nucleotide unclassified non-coding RNA is filed under the name soil metagenome. Its description in RNAcentral is "partial contains 5.8S ribosomal RNA, internal transcribed spacer 2, and large subunit ribosomal RNA". The stretch from base 1 to 120 matches the Rfam family "5.8S ribosomal RNA", at positions 35 to 154 of the family's 154-position model. The record is from RNAcentral.